UGGGGAAUCUUGGACAAUGGGGGCAACCCUGAUCCAGCCAUGCCGCGUGGACGAUGAAGGCCCUAGGGUUGUAAAGUCCUUUCACCGGUGAAGAUAAUGACGGUAGCCGGAGAAGAAGCCCCGGCUAACUCCGUGCCAGCAGCCGCGGUAAUACGGAGGGGGUUAGCGUUGUUCGGAAUUACUGGGCGUAAAGCGCACGUAGGCGGACCAGAAAGUUGGGGGUGAAAUCCCGGGGGCUCAACCCCGGAACUGCCUCCAAAACUAUUGGUCUAGAGUUCGAGAGAGGUGAGUGGAAUUCCAAGUGUAGAGGUGAAAUUCGUAGAUAUUUGGAGGAACACCAGUGGCGAAGGCGGCUCACUGGCUCGAUACUGACGCUGAGGUGCGAAAGUGUGGGGAGCAAACAGGAUUAGAUACCCUGGUAGUCCACACCGUAAAACGAUGAAUGCCAGUCGUCGGGUAGCAUGCUAUUCGGUGACACACCUAACGGAUUAAGCAUUCCGCCUGGGGAGUACGGUCGCAAGAUU
This 524-nucleotide ribosomal RNA is filed under the name uncultured bacterium. RNAcentral's name for it is "bacterial SSU rRNA". It matches the Rfam family "Bacterial small subunit ribosomal RNA", at positions 355 to 895 of the family's 1533-position model. The record is from RNAcentral.